CAGGAGGACUUACAGAAAGGGCAGAGAAGAAGAGAAACAAAGUGAGGAAGAGAGAAAUUUAUCCUGGGGUCCAGAAGUUCGUGUUAACCUGUGAAAAAAAUCAAAUCCCUGGAAGUCUGCAGAGACAGAGACAAGAAGAGACGGGACGCCAGAAACUCCUCUCUCUCCCCACCUCUCUUUUCUAGCCCCCAAAUUCCUGGCCCCCUGUUCCCCAUUGUGAGGAUAAUAUGUUGUUCUUCGUUCUCCUGUUAAAGGUGACUUGGAUCCUGGCUGCAGAUGGGGUUUCUAGAUUUAAAUAGUACAAGUCAAUCUACAAGAGGACUACCUUUUCUCCUUGAAGCAAAGAGGGUACAGGCACCGGACUACCAGUCAUAGGCAGGUUCAUUCAGGUAUAGAGAGAUACCACCUCUCUAUACACGAAUACCAGAGAAGCGAGGACCCCAGUUCUUCAAGAAAGGGCUGAGUCUUUGGCCUUUCAAAGCUGUAGAUCAGGAGAUCCCUGUUUUAGUGUUUAGUUAUGAAGAAGCUGAGGACAAGCUCUGCCGCCCUUCGCCUCACACUGUCAUGUUCCCUCCCACAUAUACACCUUGUAGUUUUUCCCUCUAGGAAAAAAGGGCUGCUAAUAGGGUUUUAAUUAUUUUUUGCUCAAUAUAUGUUUGAAAAUUAAAAGGUUUUGACCUU
RNAcentral lists this long non-coding RNA (681 nucleotides) under Rattus norvegicus (Norway rat). RNAcentral's name for it is "long non-coding RNA NONRATT016675". The record is from RNAcentral. Lineage: Eukaryota; Metazoa; Chordata; Mammalia; Rodentia; Muridae.